RNAcentral lists this long non-coding RNA (966 nucleotides) under Gallus gallus (chicken). Lineage: Eukaryota; Metazoa; Chordata; Aves; Galliformes; Phasianidae. The record is from RNAcentral.
CUGGAGCAGAACAGAUGUCUGUAUUGACCAGCAAAUCCCUCUUCGAUGAGCUCCUUUUCACUGAGCAUUUUUCAUUUUGCAGGUUACCUUUCUCUUGCAUCUCCAACAUUCUCCAAAUUAACUUCACCCUCUGCCCUCCCCAGGAAGUCCAGACCUCUGUGCUCUGAGUUAGUAGACAACUCUGAAUCCUGCUCUGGGUCCACACCACACACUAGGCUAAGGAAGAAGUUAAAGCACAGAAAAACGUUACCUUCAUUUGGGCAAGUUGCUGUUGCUGCUGCUGCUGUUGCAGUCGUCGUAAAGCUUCCUGCUGUUGCUGCCUCUGUCUCAUUAUUUCCUUUUGGCGCUGGAGUUCCAGCUCCUUGCGCUUUCGCUCCUCUUCUUCGAGCCGUUGUCUGGCUGCCUCUUCUUCCAUCCGUAGCCGACUCUCCUCAAGUCGCCGUUGAGCUUCCUCUUCCUCACGUGCCCACUUGGCAGCCUCCUCUUCCUGUUUACGAAUUAAUUCUUCUCGCUGCCGUCUUUCUUCCUCUUCUCUUCUUCUCUCUUCCAACCUCCUAAGUGCUUCCUCCUGUUGUUGUCUUUCCUCUUCCUCCCGCUGCCGUCUUAGUGCAAUUUCCUGCUCUCGUUGUCGCCUCAAGGCUUCCUCUUGCUUCCUGCGAGCCAGUUCUUCUUCUUCCCGCCGUUUCCUCUCAUCUUCCUGCUGCCUCCUAAGUAGUUCUUCUUGUUGUCUCCGAAGUUCCUCCUGCCUUUUCCUCUCUUCUUCCUCUCGUUUGGCCCUCAUUUCCACUUCUCUCCUCUCUUGCUCUAGCUUUGCAGCUUUGGCCUUCUCAAGCUGCUGAAGUUGUUCUAGAGCUGGUCCCUGAGCUGCAGUAUCGAGGGGGAGAUCCCAGACACUGCUUCCUUCCCAGACUGUAGGCUGUGAAGCUGACUGAAGUUCCCAUAUUGAGCCAGUGUCCGGCACUGACA